GAGCUAUGACGAAUCUGGUGCCUCUUGUGAUGGUAGGGUCUAUCACUAUUGUCUGAUUCUUCGGAUGAAAUUGGUCACAUCUGAGCUC
Molecule: small nucleolar RNA, 88 nt
Filed under: Theobroma cacao (cacao)
Lineage: Eukaryota; Viridiplantae; Streptophyta; Magnoliopsida; Malvales; Malvaceae
Description: small nucleolar RNA snoR114
Rfam family: small nucleolar RNA snoR114
Source: Rfam by way of RNAcentral